Molecule: non-coding RNA, 134 nt
Organism: Exophiala viscosa
Lineage: Eukaryota; Fungi; Ascomycota; Eurotiomycetes; Chaetothyriales; Herpotrichiellaceae
Source: the annotation of a RefSeq genome assembly
UGCCACAGAGUGUAGUGGUUAUCACAGCGGAUUCGUAAGUUUUAUCACUAUCAAUCGUAGACAAUAUCAUUCCUAACAAUAUCUCAGUGAUAUUCGUCUGAAUCUUCCGCUAACCCCGGUUCGAAUCCGGGCAA